CAGAGGAGCCAAGCGUUGUCCGGAUUGACUGGGCGUAAAGCGCACGCAGGCGGAUGCGCGCGUGGGGUGUGAAAUCUGGCCGCUUAACGGCCAGGCGCCAUCCCAUACGGCGCGUCUGGAGUGAUGCAGAGGUCGGUGGAAUUGCCGGUGUAGUGGUGAAAUGCGUAGAGAUCGGCAGGAACACCCAGGGGGAAACCAGCCGACUGGGCAUCGACUGACGCUGAGGUGCGAGAGCGUGGGGAGCGAACCGG
This 251-nucleotide ribosomal RNA is filed under the name uncultured bacterium. Its description in RNAcentral is "partial 16S ribosomal RNA". It matches the Rfam family "Bacterial small subunit ribosomal RNA", at positions 526 to 776 of the family's 1533-position model. The record is from RNAcentral.